GGCGCCACGCUUCCUUACUUCCCAUAGGGUGUCGCUGUAUGGAAUGUAAAGAAGUAUGGGGCCUA
Non-coding RNA from Cordylochernes scorpioides, 65 nucleotides. The record is from the annotation of a GenBank genome assembly. Lineage: Eukaryota; Metazoa; Arthropoda; Arachnida; Pseudoscorpiones; Chernetidae.